AAUUUGUGAAGGCUAAUUUAAGACUAAUUCAAGCCUAUAAGGCACAUUUAUACAAAAUUGGAAUGAGUUGAGCAUAAAUCCUUCAACAAGGAUUAAAUGAAGGGCAAGUCUGGUACCAGCAGCUGCGGUAAUUCCACCUUCACUAGCGUAUAUUAUUUUUUUGCGGUUGAAACGUUCGAAAUUUAUUCUUGUCCAACAAGGGUGCUCAACACGACAAAACUUACCGGGUUCGAACUUAUUGAGGUAAGACAGAUUUAAAGCUCUUUCUCAAAAUUAAGGGUAGUGGUGCAUGGCCGUUCUUAGUUCGUGCUCUGAUAUGUCUGGUUAAUUCCGAUAACGAACGUGACUCAAUCAAAUUAAACAGAACGCUAUCGGCAGUCAGAUAUUUGAUACUGACGGUUCGGGCAAUGAUGCCUCUGCGGUGUUGUAGUGUGACUGAUAAUACGUCAACCCAUCGUGGUUGACUUCUGCUCAAUAGGACAAUUUGUGUUCGGCAAAAUGAGCUUCAGCGAUAACAGGUCCGUGAUGCCCUUAGAUUUUCUGGACUGCAAGCACGCUACAAUGUGCGCAGCAACGCGUAUCCUUGCCCGAAAGGGUCGGAAAAUCGCUCAAAUGCGCUUGAUCACCUCGGCGUAGACGCCCACGUCACGGGCCGCACAUAUGAGGUUGUGUUGGUUUCCAGCACUUCCUUGAAAUUCAAGGCUUGAAUUGACUCUUAUGAGUUUUAAACAGCCUCCGUGUCGAAACAGGAUGGGAGAGUCUUGAAUGACACGUAAAUGCGUUACUGACCUGACCUCAAAUGUGCAUUUUGUCGGGAUUAUGGAUUGAAAUGGUCCAUAUGAACCUGGAAUUUCCAGUAAGAGCUGGUCAUUAGCUAGCGUUGAUUACGUUUCUGCCCUUUGGUCACACCGCCCUUCGCUACUACCGAUGGAUUGUUUAAUGAGGUUUUUGAACGGAAACAUUUGCUUGUCCCUCGGGAUUACAUUUAAAUCGCUGAAGUUGACCGAACUUGAUGAUUUAGGAGAAAGUUAAAGUUGUAACAAGGUUUCCGUAGGUGAACCUGCGAAAGGAUCAUUA
Molecule: non-coding RNA, 1077 nt
Filed under: Aedes aegypti (yellow fever mosquito)
Lineage: Eukaryota; Metazoa; Arthropoda; Insecta; Diptera; Culicidae
Description: Eukaryotic small subunit ribosomal RNA
Rfam family: Eukaryotic small subunit ribosomal RNA
Source: Rfam by way of RNAcentral